AGAGGCCUGCGGCCCAUCAGCUAGUUGGUAGGGUAACGGCCUACCAAGGCAGAGACGGGUAGGGGGCGUGAGAGCGCGGACCCCCACACUGGCACUGAGAUACGGGCCAGACUCCUACGGGAGGCAGCAGUAAGGGAUAUUGCGCAAUGGACGAAAGUCAGACGCAGCGACGCCGCGUGGGCGAUGAAGGCCUUCGGGUUGUAAAGCCCUUUUAUGGGGGAAGAGAAAAAGGACGGUACCCCAGGAAUAAGUCCCGGCUAACUACGUGCCAGCAGCCGCGGUAAAACGUAGGGGACAAGCGUUAUCCGGAUUCACUGGGCGUAAAGAGCGUUGAGGCGGUUCCGUAAGUUGGGCGUGAAAGCUCCGGGCUUAACUCGGAGAUGUCGUUCAAUACUGCGGGGCUUGAGGACAGCAGAGGAAGGUGGAAUUCCCGGUGUAGUGGUGAAAUGCGUAGAUAUCGGGAGGAACACCCGUGGCGAAGGCGGCCUUCUGGGCUGUUCCUGACGCUGAAGGCGAAAGCUAGGGGAGCGAACGGGAUUAGAUACCCCGGUAGUCCUAGCUGUAAACGAUGGAUGCUGGGUGUGGGGGGUGUAAAUUCCCUCUGUGCCGAAGCAAACGCGUUAAGCAUCCCGCCUGGGGACUACGGCCGCAAGGCUAAAACUCAAACGAAUUGACGGGGGCCCGCACAAGCAGCGGAGCGUGUGGUUUAAUUCGAUGCUACACGAAGAACCUUACCUGGGUUUGACAUGCACGUGGUAGGGAACCGAAAGGGGACCGACCUUCGAGAGCGUGCACAGGUGCUGCAUGGCUGUCGUCAGCUCGUGCCGUGAGGUGUCGGGUUAAGUCCCGUAACGAGCGCAACCCUUGCCCUUAGUUACAAGUGUCUAAGGGGACUGCCCGGGACAACUGGGAGGAAGGUGGGGAUGACGUCAAGUCAGCAUGGCCUUUAUAUCCAGGGCUACACACACGCUACAAUGGCCGGUACAAUAGGUUGCGAAGUCGUGAGGCGGAGCCAAUCCUCAAAGCCGGUCUCAGUUCGAAUUGCAGUCUGCAACUCGACUGCAUGAAGCUGGAGUUGCUAGUAAUCGCAGGUCAGCUAUACUGCGGUGAAUACGUUCCCGGGCCUUGUACACACCGCCCGUCACGUCAUGGAAGCUGGC
Molecule: ribosomal RNA, 1160 nt
Filed under: uncultured organism
Description: bacterial SSU rRNA
Rfam family: Bacterial small subunit ribosomal RNA
Source: RNAcentral